UCCGCUUUCGGGUGGAGAGCGUACACAGGUGCUGCAUGGCUGUCGUCAGCUCGUGUCGUGAGAUGUUGGGUUAAGUCCCGCCAACGAGCGCAACCCCUGCAUUCAGUUGCCAUCGGGUGAAGCCGGGCACUCUGGAAGGACUGCCAUCGACAAGAUGGAGGAAGGUGGGGACGACGUCAAGUCAUCAUGGCCCUUAUGUCCAGGGCGACACACGUGCUACAAUGGCCGGCACAACGGGAAGCGAGUUCGCGAGGACGAGCGGAUCCCUUAAAGCCGGUCGCAGUUCGGAUUGAAGUCUGCAACUCGACUUCAUGAAGCUGGAAUCGCUAGUAAUCGCAGAUCAGCCAAGCUGCGGUGAAUACGUUCCCGGGCCUU
RNAcentral lists this ribosomal RNA (375 nucleotides) under uncultured Synergistaceae bacterium. Its description in RNAcentral is "bacterial SSU rRNA". It matches the Rfam family "Bacterial small subunit ribosomal RNA", at positions 1010 to 1382 of the family's 1533-position model. Lineage: Bacteria; Thermotogati; Synergistota; Synergistia; Synergistales; Synergistaceae. The record is from RNAcentral.